Molecule: long non-coding RNA, 1218 nt
Organism: Eriocheir sinensis (Chinese mitten crab)
Lineage: Eukaryota; Metazoa; Arthropoda; Malacostraca; Decapoda; Varunidae
Exons: 3
Source: RefSeq, a predicted model, not a curated record
GAGACCCGAGCCCCAGACCAAGGCCGAGUAGUGCCUGGCGGGGCGUGUUGACGUGUGUGUGUGUGUGUUGGUGAGCAGCGUUCAUUGCAAGGUGUGUUCCUCCAUAUUUACCGCAUAAAAUGAAGACAAAGAUUCUUGUGUUGCCCUGUAAUGUGUUGUUCUAUGGCUGUGUUGUUGUCAGUGCUAAGAGGCUGGGGGAGGGAGAGGCUUAGUGAAGCAGACUAUGGUGAUGCCAAGGUUAUUUACUUUGUUGAAUCUCGUCGACUACGGACACAGCUGAGGUGGACCUCCGCUGCUUCCCACUGGCUCCUCUCCUCUUGCUGAAGGGAAACAACAAAGGAGAAGGGAGGAACAUGCCAUCCCAACCCCCAGGCAGUACAGAGUGUGAUUAUACAACUAGUAAUACAUGUGGAGGCAGUACCAAGAAACGAUAAAGACACAAUGGCAGGAAUGAAUGCACAACAAGGGAGGGGGGCGGUACCUGCCGGCCUCCCCCUGGGCAAUGAUGAUGUGUUGUCUGUGGCAGUGUUCACCCACGAGGCGCCCCAGCUGGUGAUGCUGUGCCGGGUGUGUUGUUCCCUGAGCAGUAAUUAUGCUGUGCUCCAGCACUGGCGGCAGUGCUUCCAGAUGGUCAUCCUCAGAGCACCACAUUCAUCAGAGUCGGCCCCAAAACCUUCAUGGGCACUCCAGUAAUGAGGUCCAAUCAAACCACCAUCCAGGCCCCUCAAGAAAGCCUACUGCCGCUAUAGGCUGACACAUAAAAAAAAAAAAAUAAAUAAAUAAAUAAAAUGAAUAAUAAUAGUAAUGAUAACUGUUAGGUAAUGUGCCGUGGGUUAUGGUUAAACUGAGAUUGGAGUGGCUGCACCUUGCAGGGACUUGGUACCUUAUUGUAUUUGUUUAUUUAUUGUCUCCAUAUCCAUAUUUGUCCAGGUUUCUUAAGUUUCCACAAACUCUUUGCCUCCAUUACCUUUUCUCUUAAGUCAUUCCCAGUGUUUAUGUUUCUCCUUGGAAAGCUGUAGUCCUUAGUAUCAUGACGACAUGUUCCCUUCCUCAUGUUUUCCUGUGACCUCCUAGCUCUGCCUUCCCUUCCCUUGUCAGUAAUAGGUCUUUAUCACCUGACUCCUGCAAGUCACUCACUGGUUCACAUCCUGCAGUCAAACCUUCUCUCUCCCCUUUUAUAGAAGUGAAUGUAUUGAUAUUUUAUGUGAGUGUAAGGAA